RNAcentral lists this ribosomal RNA (466 nucleotides) under uncultured bacterium. RNAcentral describes it as "partial 16S ribosomal RNA". It matches the Rfam family "Bacterial small subunit ribosomal RNA", at positions 28 to 507 of the family's 1533-position model. The record is from RNAcentral.
GAUGAACGCUGGCGGCGUGCUUAACACAUGCAAGUCGAACGAUGAAGCCCAGCUUGCUGGGUGGAUUAGUGGCGAACGGGUGAGUAACACGUGAGUAACCUGCCCUUAACUCUGGGAUAAGCCUGGGAAACUGGGUCUAAUACCGGAUAGGAGCGUCCACCGCAUGGUGGGUGUUGGAAAGAUUUAUCGGUUUUGGAUGGACUCGCGGCCUAUCAGCUUGUUGGUGAGGUAAUGGCUCACCAAGGCGACGACGGGUAGCCGGCCUGAGAGGGUGACCGGCCAAACUGGGACUGAGACACGGCCCAGACUCCUACGGGAGGCAGCAGUGGGGAAUAUUGCACAAUGGGCGCAAGCCUGAUGCAGCGACGCCGCGUGAGGGAUGACGGCCUUCGGGUUGUAAACCUCUUUCAGUAGGGAAGAAGCGAAAGUGACGGUACCUGCAGAAGAAGCACCGGCUAACUACGUG